This 120-nucleotide ribosomal RNA is filed under the name Microcebus murinus (gray mouse lemur). The record is from RNAcentral. Lineage: Eukaryota; Metazoa; Chordata; Mammalia; Primates; Cheirogaleidae.
GUCUACAGCCAUACCAACUCUGAACAUGCCCCAUCUUGGAUGAUCUUGGAAGCUAAGCAGGGUCAGGCCUGGUUAGUACUUGGAUGGGAGGCUGCCUGGGAAUACUGGGUGCUGUAGGCU